AUGGACGACGUUGACGCCGCCGCCGUCACCGAUCCCCGCGGACGCCGCAGACGCCGCCGACCAGUGCAGAGCGCGGUCACGUUCUCCGCGCGGCCAUACGGACCAUCGCUUCGCCUGAGGUCGCCUAUCAUGGCUGCCACCAGCGUCGGCAGGAACGACUCGCCGAUGGCACCCGAGGACUCCACAGUAUCGUCUAGGCUAGGAGAGGUCAAGAUCAACCUGGACGGCACUGGUGUUGCAAACUACAGCAUAGGGAUAUCGUUCUUGGAUUACAUCCUUGAUUGUAACCAAAGUCUAUGGAUCUGUCAAAGGGUCUUGCUGCAUAUGGUCAUUGUUGUAUUGUUGGAGAGCUGGAAGCAGAAUCAUAGGAGAUGCUGCACAAUAUGA
RNAcentral lists this ribosomal RNA (387 nucleotides) under Triticum aestivum (bread wheat). RNAcentral describes it as "partial small subunit ribosomal RNA". The record is from RNAcentral. Lineage: Eukaryota; Viridiplantae; Streptophyta; Magnoliopsida; Poales; Poaceae.